UUUUGUUUUCAGUUUUUCUCUGUUUUUGGUUAAAAUUUAAAAUAAAUAAAAAAUUGCAUGCUUUUUCCUUUGGUUUUUGAGUUACAAUUAUGAGUAUUUUUCUUAGUUCUCUUGACUAAAGUCUUGUGGUGUGAUGUGGAAAAUUUGAUGUGCAUUUUUAGUAUGAUAGGUAGAACUAAACUCUAAAUUAUAUAUCUUUAGCAGUAGAUCAUUAACCCUGUGAGCUUUGAAUCUUAUAUGGAUAACAUACAAAAGUCCAUCUCUUUCUUUCUUGUAUGAUUCGCUCAUUUCUGUUAGUCUCUAGAACUUGAAUUGACUCUUGUUGAUGAUGUUGUUUAGUUAUGCACACUGAUAUGAUAAAG
Molecule: long non-coding RNA, 362 nt
Filed under: Lathyrus oleraceus (garden pea)
Lineage: Eukaryota; Viridiplantae; Streptophyta; Magnoliopsida; Fabales; Fabaceae
Description: Pisum sativum (pea) long non-coding RNA (PSAT_LNC019863)
Source: RNAcentral